RNAcentral lists this ribosomal RNA (773 nucleotides) under uncultured archaeon. RNAcentral describes it as "bacterial SSU rRNA". It matches the Rfam family "Archaeal small subunit ribosomal RNA", at positions 102 to 859 of the family's 1478-position model. The record is from RNAcentral.
AGCUAACCUACCCUCAGGACGUGGAUACCCCCGGGAAACUGGGGCUAAUCCGCGAUAGGUAUGAAGGCCUGGAAUGGUUUCAUGCCCAAUGGCACAGCGAUCAUGUUUGUUGUGUGCCUGAGGAUGGGGCUGCGGCUGAUCAGGCAGUUGGCGAGGUAACGGCUCACCAAACCUUUGACCAGUACGGGCCAUGAAAGUGGUAGCCCGGAGAUGGGCACUGAGACAGGGGCCCAGGCCCUACGGGGCGCAGCAGGCGCGAAAACUCCACAAUGUACGGAAGUACGAUGGGGUUAUCUCGAGUGCAGUCCGAUAAGGGCUGCUUUUCCAUAGAGUAAUAUCCUGUGGGAAUAAGAGGGGGGCAAGACUGGUGUCAGCCGCCGCGGUAACACCAGCCCCUCGAGUGGUGGGGACUAUUAUUUGGCCUAAAGCGUCCGUAGCUGGCUGUAUCCGUCCCCCGUUAAAUCCAGCGUCCUAAGCGUUGGACCGCGGGUGAUACCAUACAGCUAGAGGGUGGGAUAGGUGAGCGGUAUUUCUGGGGUAGGGGCGAAAUCCUUUGAUCCCAGGAGGACCACCAGUGGCGAAGGCUGCUCACUAGAACACGCCUGACGGUCAGGGACGAAAGCUGGGGCAGCGAACCGGAUUAGAUACCCGGGUAGUCCCAGCUGUAAACGAUGCUACUAGGGUGGUUGGGGUCGGCCACGCGCCGCCCCAGUGCCGCAGGGAAGCCGUUAAGCUAGCCGCCUGGGGAGUACGGCCGCAAGGCUGAAACUUAA